UUCAGGUGUAACCACCAUUUUGAAUAUACUUAUGUGUGUAAAUCGACGCCCAGUGUAUCAUAAAAAGUUUAUUGUGAGAAUUGUGGUUUUUGACAUAGUUUGUUAGUGAUGGCAGAUUUCAAUUUGGACGUUGAUAGUUUAAUACAUAGAUUAUUAGAAGUGAGAGGAUGUCGCCCAGGAAAAUCUGUUUCAAUGGCAGAGGCAGAAAUCAGAGGUCUUUGUCAAAGGUCUCGAGAAAUAUUUUUACAACAACCAAUCCUACUGGAACUUGAAGCUCCUUUAAAAAUCUGUGGAGAUAUUCAUGGACAAUAUACUGACCUGUUACGUCUAUUUGAAUAUGGUGGAUUUCCACCAGAAGCCAAUUAUUUAUUUCUUGGAGAUUAUGUUGACAGAGGCAAGCAAAGUCUUGAAACAAUAUGUUUGUUACUUGCCUACAAAAUCAAAUAUCCAGAAAACUUUUUCUUAUUGAGAGGGAAUCAUGAAUGUGCCAGUAUUAACAGGAUAUAUGGUUUUUAUGAUGAAUGCAAAAGACGUUACAAUGUGAAACUAUGGAAAACAUUUACAGAUUGUUUCAAUUGUCUUCCAAUAGCUGCAAUUAUUGAUGAAAAGAUAUUUUGUUGUCAUGGAGGUUUAUCACCCGACUUACAAUCUAUGGAACAAAUUAGAAGAAUAAUGAGACCCACAGAUGUACCUGACACAGGUCUUUUAUGUGAUUUGUUAUGGUCUGACCCUGAUAAAGAUGUUCACGGUUGGGGUGAAAAUGAUAGAGGAGUUUCAUUUACAUUUGGUGGAGAUGUUGUCAGUAAAUUCUUAAAUAAACAUGAUCUUGAUUUGAUUUGCAGAGCACAUCAGGUUGUUGAGGAUGGUUAUGAAUUCUUUGCCAAAAGACAACUGGUUACAUUAUUCUCAGCGCCCAAUUAUUGUGGAGAAUUUGACAACGCUGGUGGCAUGAUGUCAGUUGAUGAAACUUUGAUGUGCUCAUUUCAGAUUCUUAAACCUUCAGAGAAAAAAGCAAAAUACCAAUACAGCGGCAUGAAUUCCGGUCGGCAAAACACGCCUCAACAUGUGCCCCCUAAGAAAAAAUAACUCAACUAUGUGCCCUUUCCUUGUACUUUUAUUGAGACGCCUCUGCCUCUGCCCAUACCCAUCUUAUCUGUUGGUGAAAAAGAUAAAGAUAAAACAAAUUCCAAUGAAAAUAAAACUGGAAACAAAAAACCUGAGAAGAAUGAAAUAUCUGGUUGCAGUACUGAAUUUUUUUUGACAAUAGACAUUCAAAACAUGAAUAAAUUACACUAUGAAAGAUGUUCGAGCAUUAAUUAUAAGAGGAUUAUAAAUCGAUUUUGAAAAGUGAGUUUAUAAAAUGGGUAUAUAUAUAUUUGGGCAAAGCAUAGGCUUCUGGAGGAUUGUUUUUGGACAGAUGAAAUAUUAUUUUUUAUAUAUAAUUCAUGUUUUUUAGUAUACUAUUCAAUUUUGUCUGCAAACUAUCAUAAGCAAUUGAGUCAAAUUAUGCUGUCCAAAUCAGUCAUCUAGGUAAGGGAUUAUAUCUUCCAAUUGCUCUUUAAUUUUAACUACUCUUUGCAAUAUUUUUGCAGGUAUUAUAUAUUUAAGAGUAUUUUUUCAAUUUUAUA
RNA transcript from Ctenocephalides felis (cat flea), 1628 nucleotides. It is a transcript of the gene named serine/threonine-protein phosphatase PP1-beta catalytic subunit, with no coding region annotated. The record is from RefSeq and is a predicted model, not a curated record. The transcript is spliced from 8 exons. Lineage: Eukaryota; Metazoa; Arthropoda; Insecta; Siphonaptera; Pulicidae.